AUUGAACGCUGGCGGCAUGCUUUACACAUGCAAGUCGAACGGCAGCGCGGGCUUCGGCCUGGCGGCGAGUGGCGAACGGGUGAGUAAUGCAUCGGAACGUGCCCAGUAGUGGGGGAUAGCCCGGCGAAAGCCGGAUUAAUACCGCAUACGACCUGAGGGUGAAAGCGGGGGACCGAAAGGCCUCGCGCUAUUGGAGCGGCCGAUGUCGGAUUAGCUAGUUGGUGGGGCAAAGGCUUACCAAGGCGACGAUCCGUAGCUGGUCUGAGAGGACGACCAGCCACACUGGGACUGAGACACGGCCCAGACUCCUACGGGAGGCAGCAGUGGGGAAUGUUGGACAAUGGGGGCAACCCUGAUCCAGCCAUGCCGCGUGCGGGAAGAAGGCCUUCGGGUUGUAAACCGCUUUUGUUCGGGAAGAAAUCCUCUGGGCUAAUACCCCGGGGGGAUGACGGUACCGGAAGAAUAAGCACCGGCUAACUACGUG
Molecule: ribosomal RNA, 484 nt
Filed under: uncultured bacterium
Lineage: Bacteria
Description: partial 16S ribosomal RNA
Rfam family: Bacterial small subunit ribosomal RNA
Source: RNAcentral